UCUGUUGUUAGGGAAGAACAAGUGCUAGUUGAAUAAGCUGGCACCUUGACGGUACCUAACCAGAAAGCCACGGCUAACUACGUGCCAGCAGCCGCGGUAAUACGUAGGUGGCAAGCGUUAUCCGGAAUUAUUGGGCGUAAAGCGCGCGCAGGUGGUUUCUUAAGUCUGAUGUGAAAGCCCACGGCUCAACCGUGGAGGGUCAUUGGAAACUGGGAGACUUGAGUGCAGAAGAGGAAAGUGGAAUUCCAUGUGUAGCGGUGAAAUGCGUAGAGAUAUGGAGGAACACCAGUGGCGAAGGCGACUUUCUGG
Molecule: ribosomal RNA, 309 nt
Filed under: Bacillus cereus
Lineage: Bacteria; Bacillati; Bacillota; Bacilli; Caryophanales; Bacillaceae
Description: bacterial SSU rRNA
Rfam family: Bacterial small subunit ribosomal RNA
Source: RNAcentral